Molecule: non-coding RNA, 22 nt
Filed under: Salmo salar (Atlantic salmon)
Lineage: Eukaryota; Metazoa; Chordata; Actinopteri; Salmoniformes; Salmonidae
Also listed under: 1 other name
Gene: ssa-miR-10d-5p
Source: miRBase by way of RNAcentral
CACCCUGUAGAACCGAAUUUGU